This 439-nucleotide ribosomal RNA is filed under the name uncultured bacterium. RNAcentral's name for it is "partial 16S ribosomal RNA". It matches the Rfam family "Bacterial small subunit ribosomal RNA", at positions 338 to 795 of the family's 1533-position model. The record is from RNAcentral.
CCUACGGGAGGCAGCAGUGGGGAAUAUUGCACAAUGGGCGAAAGCCUGAUGCAGCAACGCCGCGUGAGCGAUGAAGUACUUCGGUUCGUAAAGCUCUGUCCGCAGGGAAGAUAAUGACGGUACUUGAGGAAGAAGCCCCGGCUAACUACGUGCCAGCAGCCGCGGUAAUACGUAGGGGGCUAGCGUUAUCCGGAUUUACUGGGCGUAAAGGGUGCGUAGGUGGUUUCUUAAGUCAGAGGUGAAAGGCCACGGCUAAACCGUAGUAAGCCUUUGAAACUGGGAAACUUGAGUGCAGGAGAGGAGAGUGGAAUUCCUAGUGUAGCGGUGAAAUGCGUAGAUAUUAGGAGGAACACCAGUGGCGAAGGCGGCUUUCUGGACUGUAACUGACACUGAGGCACGAAAGCGUGGGGAGCAAACAGGAUUAGAUACCCGUGUAGUC